RNAcentral lists this ribosomal RNA (372 nucleotides) under uncultured organism. RNAcentral's name for it is "bacterial SSU rRNA". It matches the Rfam family "Bacterial small subunit ribosomal RNA", at positions 526 to 896 of the family's 1533-position model. The record is from RNAcentral.
CGUAGGGGGCAAGCGUUGUCCGGAUUUACUGGGCGUAAAGAGCGUGUAGGCGGCCAAACAGGUCCGUUGUGAAAACUGGAAGCUCAACUUCCAGACGUCGACGGAAACCGUGUGGCUAGAGUCCGGAAGAGGAGAGUGGAAUUCCUGGUGUAGCGGUGAAAUGCGCAGAUAUCAGGAAGAACACCAAUGGCGAAGGCAGCUCUCUGGGACGGUACUGACGCUGAGACGCGAAAGCGUGGGGAGCGAACAGGAUUAGAUACCCUGGUAGUCCACGCCGUAAACGAUGGGUGCUAGGUGUGGGAGGUGUCGACUCCUUCCGUGCCGUAGCUAACGCAUUAAACAUUCCGCCUGGGGAGUACGGUCGCAAGAUUA